CCAGUGUCGAGCUUGCAGAAGCUGUGAACCUUGCAAUGAAAGGUACAGACGUCUUGACCCUGGUGGUAGGAUCUGCUAUCAGCCACUGCCCCAGUAUCCCUUGGCCCACCUGCCACGGCUACCUACAUAAGAGGACUCACUCCAGGAUCGUGAAGGGUUGGAGAAAGAGGUGGUUUGUGCCGAAGUAUGAUGGAUGCCUCUACUAUUACAAACAUAAAAAGGAUGAAGGAAAAUGGCCACCUCUAGAAGUAAUA
This 254-nucleotide small RNA is filed under the name Pongo abelii (Sumatran orangutan). Its description in RNAcentral is "processed transcript". Lineage: Eukaryota; Metazoa; Chordata; Mammalia; Primates; Hominidae. The record is from RNAcentral.